AACGAACGCUGGCGGCAUGCCUAACACAUGCCAGUCGAACGAGACCUUCGGGUCUAGUGGCGCACGGGUGCGUAACGCGUGGGAACCUGCCCUUAGGUUCGGAAUAACUCCCCGAAAGGGGUGCUAAUACCGGAUAAUGUCUUCGGACCAAAGAUUUAUCGCCUUUGGAUGGGCCCGCGUUGGAUUAGCUAGUUGGUAGGGUAAAAGCCUACCAAGGCGACGAUCCAUAGCUGGUCUGAGAGGAUGAUCAGCCACACUGGGACUGAGACACGGUCCAGACUCCUACGGGAGGCAGCAGUGGGGAAUAUUGGACAAUGGGCGAAAGCCUGAUCCAGCAAUGCCGCGUGAGUGAUGAAGGCCUUAGGGUUGUAAAGCUCUUUUACCCGGGAUGAUAAUGACAGUACCGGGAGAAUAAGCGCCGGCUAACUCCGUG
This 433-nucleotide ribosomal RNA is filed under the name uncultured bacterium. RNAcentral describes it as "partial 16S ribosomal RNA". It matches the Rfam family "Bacterial small subunit ribosomal RNA", at positions 29 to 507 of the family's 1533-position model. The record is from RNAcentral.